CCUACGGGUGGCAGCAGUGGGGAAUAUUGGGCAAUGGGCGCAAGCCUGACCCAGCAACGCCGCGUGAAGGAAGAAGGCUUUCGGGUUGUAAACUUCUUUUCUCAGGGACGAAGACAGUGACGGUACCUGAGUUAUCAGCCACGGCUAACUACGUGCCAGCAGCCGCCGUACUACGUAGGUGGCAAGCGUUAUCCGGAUUUAUUGGGUGUAAAGGGCGUGUAGGCGGGAGCGCAAGUCAGAUGUGAAAACUCAGGGCUCAACCCUGAGCCUGCAUUUGAAACUGUGUGUCUUGAGUGCUGGAGAGGCGAUCAGAAGUCCGGGUGUAGCGGUGAAAUGCGUAGAGAUACGGAGGAACACCAGUGGCGAAGGCGGAUUGCUGGACAGUAACUGACGCUGAGGCGCGAAAGCGUGGGGAGCAAACAGGAUUAGAUACCCGGGUAGUC
This 443-nucleotide ribosomal RNA is filed under the name uncultured bacterium. Its description in RNAcentral is "partial 16S ribosomal RNA". It matches the Rfam family "Bacterial small subunit ribosomal RNA", at positions 338 to 795 of the family's 1533-position model. The record is from RNAcentral.